UACGAGAGGGGCAAGUGUUGUUCGUAAUGACUGGGCGUAAAGGGUAUGUAGGCUGUUAAAUCAUUAACAGGAGAUGAAAUGCUGUAUAAAAUGUAUAUAGAAACAUCAAAUGUAAGUUUUAACUAGAGUUAUACUCAGGAUUACGAGAAUUUUUUUUGUAGGGCUAAAAUCCAUUUUAGAAAAAAAAGAGAAUGCCGAUUGGUGAAGACACUGAUCUAGAGGUAACUGACGCUGAGGUACGAAAGCGUGGGGAGCGAAUAGG
This 262-nucleotide ribosomal RNA is filed under the name uncultured bacterium. RNAcentral's name for it is "partial 16S ribosomal RNA". It matches the Rfam family "Bacterial small subunit ribosomal RNA", at positions 524 to 776 of the family's 1533-position model. The record is from RNAcentral.